RNAcentral lists this ribosomal RNA (174 nucleotides) under Ancistrura nigrovittata. RNAcentral describes it as "5.8S ribosomal RNA". The stretch from base 10 to 164 matches the Rfam family "5.8S ribosomal RNA". From Rfam's summary of the family: 5.8S ribosomal RNA (5.8S rRNA) is a component of the large subunit of the eukaryotic ribosome. It is transcribed by RNA polymerase I as part of the 45S precursor that also contains 18S and 28S rRNA. Functionally, it is thought that 5.8S rRNA may be involved in ribosome translocation. Lineage: Eukaryota; Metazoa; Arthropoda; Insecta; Orthoptera; Tettigoniidae. The record is from RNAcentral. RNAcentral also lists the same sequence under 2 other names.
CGAAAGUACAACCCUGAACGGUGGAUCACUCGGCUCGUGGGUCGAUGAAGAACGCAGCAAAUUGCGCGUCGACAUGUGAACUGCAGGACACAUGAACAUCGACAUUUCGAACGCACAUUGCGGUCCAUGGAUUCCGUUCCCGGACCACGCCUGGCUGAGGGUCGGUAGCUAAAA